GUUCUGAUAGCUUAACAUUAAAGCAUUGGUCUUGUAAACCAAAGAUUGUAGAAUAACAUCUACUCAGGACU
This 71-nucleotide transfer RNA is filed under the name Zhangixalus chenfui (Chinese whipping frog). RNAcentral's name for it is "tRNA-Thr". It matches the Rfam family "tRNA". Rfam says of the family: Transfer RNA (tRNA) molecules are approximately 80 nucleotides in length. Their secondary structure includes four short double-helical elements and three loops (D, anti-codon, and T loops). Further hydrogen bonds mediate the characteristic L-shaped molecular structure. tRNAs have two regions of fundamental functional importance: the anti-codon, which is responsible for specific mRNA codon recognition, and the 3' end, to which the tRNAs corresponding amino acid is attached (by aminoacyl-tRNA synthetases). tRNAs cope with the degeneracy of the genetic code in two manners: having more than one tRNA (with a specific anti-codon) for a particular amino acid; and 'wobble' base-pairing, i.e. permitting non-standard base-pairing at the 3rd anti-codon position. The record is from RNAcentral. Lineage: Eukaryota; Metazoa; Chordata; Amphibia; Anura; Rhacophoridae.